GCCUGCCUCUCAGUUAGCGACGCGCCGCCUUACUCUGUCCGUUCAUCCAUGUCCUCUGACGGUGCGAGUCCGCCGGAAGCCGCGUCUGUGUCUACCAUCGAGGUAAAUCAUUUGAUCGAUCACAGUUGUAAUUUGUAAACCCUAAACCCAAACAACAAUUGCUAUUGCUACUGUAUCUAUCUAUCAAUCUCACUUUGUGAAUUCAAUUCAAUUCAGAUUCAGAUUCAAACACUGCAUAUUGACAUGGAUCGAGAUUUGAUAAUUGAAAUCCUUUUGAGGUUGCCGGUGAAGUCUAUUGUACGAUUCAAGGCUGUGUGUAAGUUAUGGAGAUCUCUCAUAUCCGAUCCCCUCUUUGCAUCAUUACAUUUUCAACGUGCUGCUCCUUCACUCCUUUUCGCUGACUCUCAUGCCAUUCGAACCAUUGACUUNNNNN
RNAcentral lists this long non-coding RNA (433 nucleotides) under Lotus japonicus. Its description in RNAcentral is "long non-coding RNA (LJAP_LNC000567)". Lineage: Eukaryota; Viridiplantae; Streptophyta; Magnoliopsida; Fabales; Fabaceae. The record is from RNAcentral.